RNAcentral lists this ribosomal RNA (835 nucleotides) under uncultured Tomentella. RNAcentral's name for it is "eukaryotic LSU rRNA". It matches the Rfam family "Eukaryotic large subunit ribosomal RNA", at positions 72 to 892 of the family's 3401-position model. The record is from RNAcentral. Lineage: Eukaryota; Fungi; Basidiomycota; Agaricomycetes; Thelephorales; Thelephoraceae.
GGAUUCCCCUAGUAACUGCGAGUGAAGCGGGAAGAGCUCAAAUUUAAAAUCUGGCGUGCCUCCCGCCGUCCGAGUUGUAGUCUGGAGAAGCGUUUUCCGUGUUGGACCGUGUAUAAGUCUCUUGGAACAGGGCGUCAUAGAGGGUGAGAAUCCCGUCUUUGACACGGACUACCAAUGCUUUGUGAUGCGCUCUCAAAGAGUCGAGUUGUUUGGGAAUGCAGCUCAAAAUGGGUGGUAAAUUCCAUCUAAAGCUAAAUAUAGGCGAGAGACCGAUAGCGAACAAGUACCGUGAGGGAAAGAUGAAAAGCACUUUGGAAAGAGAGUUAAACAGUACGUGAAAUUGCUGAAAGGGAAACGCUUGAAGUCAGUCACGUCUGCCAGGACUCAGCCUUGCUUCUGCUGGGUGCACUUUCUGGUUUGACGGGCCAACAUCAAUUUUGACCGUUGGAGAAAGGCUUUGGGAACGUGGCACCUUCGGGUGUGUUAUAGCCCUAGGUUGUAUGCAACGGUUGGGAUUGAGGACCGCAGCACGCCUUCAUGGCCGGGGUUCGCCCACGUACGUGCUUAGGAUGUUGGCAUAAUGGCUUUAAGCGACCCGUCUUGAAACACGGACCAAGGAGUCUAACAUGCCUGCGAGUGUUUGGGUGGAAAACCCAUGCGCGUAAUGAAAGUGAUAGCUGAGAUCCUCUCAUCAGGAGCAUCAGCGCCUGGACUUGAUCUACGGAGACGGUUCUACGGUAGAGCAUGUAUGUUGGGACCCGAAAGAUGGUGAACUAUGCCUGAAUAGGGUGAAGCCAGAGGAAACUCUGGUGGAGGCUCGUAGCGAUUCUGACGU